GACGAACGCUGGCGGCGUGCUUAACACAUGCAAGUCGAACGGAAAGGCCCUGCUUGCAGGGUACUCGAGUGGCGAACGGGUGAGUAACACGUGGGUGAUCUGCCCUGCACUUCGGGAUAAGCCUGGGAAACUGGGUCUAAUACCGGAUAGGAGCCAUUUCUAGUGUGAUGGUUGGAAAGUUUUUUCGGUGUAGGAUGAGCUCGCGGCCUAUCAGCUUGUUGGUGGGGUAAUGGCCUACCAAGGCGGCGACGGGUAGCCGGCCUGAGAGGGUGGACGGCCACAUUGGGACUGAGAUACGGCCCAGACUCCUACGGGAGGCAGCAGUGGGGAAUAUUGCACAAUGGGCGCAAGCCUGAUGCAGCGACGCCGCGUGGGGGAUGACGGCCUUCGGGUUGUAAACUCCUUUCGCUAGGGACGAAGCUUUUGUGACGGUACCUAGAUAAGAAGCACCGGCUAACUACGUG
Molecule: ribosomal RNA, 464 nt
Filed under: uncultured bacterium
Lineage: Bacteria
Description: partial 16S ribosomal RNA
Rfam family: Bacterial small subunit ribosomal RNA
Source: RNAcentral